GAUCUGGCUUAGAUUGAACGCUGGCGGCGUGCUUAACACAUGCAAGUCGCGCGUGAAAGGACUUCGGUCCGAGUAAAGCGGCGCACGGGUGAGUAACGCGUGGAUGAUCUACCCAUGAGUUAGGAAUAACGGCUGGAAACGGUCGCUAAUACCAAAUACGCUCCGAUUUCAACUUCGGGGGAAAGGUGGCCUCUGCUUGCAAGCUACUGCUCAUGGAUGAGUCCGCGUCCCAUUAGCUAGUUGGUGGGGUAACGGCCCACCAAGGCGACGAUGGGUAGCCGGUCUGAGAGGAUGACCGGCCACACUGGGACUGAAACACGGCCCAGACUCCUACGGGAGGCAGCAGUGGGGAAUAUUGCGCAAUGGGCGAAAGCCUGACGCAGCGACGCCGCGUGAGGGGAAUGAAGGUCCUCGGAUCGUAAACCUCUGUCAGGAGGGAAGAACCGCCACGGUGCUAAUCAGCCGUGGUCUGACGGUACCUCCAAAGGAAGCACCGGCUAACUCCGUGCCAGCCGCGGC
This 519-nucleotide ribosomal RNA is filed under the name uncultured bacterium. Its description in RNAcentral is "bacterial SSU rRNA". It matches the Rfam family "Bacterial small subunit ribosomal RNA", at positions 15 to 518 of the family's 1533-position model. The record is from RNAcentral.